UUAGUACAUAAACAUAAUCAUAACCUAAUCUUCUUCAGUAGACUAUGACUAUUGCAAAAAUAUUUUAAGUAUCAACUGUAUUCUUAACUGCAAAGAACAGGGUAGAUUCUUACUGUGUCUGUGUCAAAUCAAUCCAUCGGUGUUAAUUCUACAAAUUACCCAAUGGUUCACGUGUAUGUUUGGUUUGUGUUAACACUUUGAGAAACACUAAAUAAUUAUUUUUGUUUAUGUUUUGUUUUUAAAUAGGAAGUUGAAAAAUCUGGAUUAAAAUUACAUCACUUGGUUUUAUAAAGUCAUGAAUUACAUCAGAUGAAAUAAUACAGCAGCUGAGUGUAGAAUGCAGAUGAAACAAUUUCCCUGCAGAGGACACUCCACUAUCAUUUCCAAACCCAACAGGUAGUCAGAGGAGUGACUGUAACUACAGCACUGAUAAAUUAGCAAAGGAAAAUAUCUAGCCAGUGUGUUGAUAAUUCUCCUAUAAAUACUUGGAUAUUUUUAAUAAUGAUUUUACCAGCCUAAGGUGAAAGUAAGUGCUCAGUGACACCCCAGAAGAUGAGCAGGAACUUGAAUGUAAAGAUACUGAUUUUGUUGAAUCUGUUUGAAAAAGAUAUUCCAGAAGCAAAGAAAUACCCUUGAACAAGACAUUGAUGGCCAUUGGAGAGCGUGUUUGUAGUGCUCUUAAGAAGACUCAAGAAGGUUACUCAGUCUUCUCACAGACAGUGAAGGAAAGUAUUCUCCUUGCUUAGAGUUUCCUG
Molecule: long non-coding RNA, 755 nt
Filed under: Cyanistes caeruleus (blue tit)
Lineage: Eukaryota; Metazoa; Chordata; Aves; Passeriformes; Paridae
Description: lncRNA (ENSCCEG00000015275.1)
Source: RNAcentral